RNAcentral lists this ribosomal RNA (200 nucleotides) under uncultured prokaryote. RNAcentral describes it as "partial 16S ribosomal RNA". It matches the Rfam family "Bacterial small subunit ribosomal RNA", at positions 1184 to 1382 of the family's 1533-position model. The record is from RNAcentral.
GUCAAAUCAUCAUGCCCUUUAUGACCUGGGCUACACACGUAAUACAAUGGCGCUCUAACAGAGGGAAGCAAGUCCGCGAGGGCAAGCGAAUCUCGAAAAAGCGUCUCAGUUCGGAUUGCAGGCUGCAACUCGCCUGCAUGAAGUCGGAAUUGCUAGUAAUCGCGGAUCAUCAUGCCGCGGUGAAUACGUUCCCGGGCCUU